RNAcentral lists this long non-coding RNA (267 nucleotides) under Anser cygnoides (Swan goose). Its description in RNAcentral is "lncRNA (ENSACDG00005009232.1)". Lineage: Eukaryota; Metazoa; Chordata; Aves; Anseriformes; Anatidae. The record is from RNAcentral.
GAGCAGCAAUUGGAUACAGUGCUUCUAUGGAACUGCUCCUUUGCGUCACAGAGAUCAAACUGGAGUACGUCUUAAUCCUACACAUGGAGAGACCUAAGCAGGCUGAGCUGGCUGGCUGAUGUGUUAGGGAUCUGGGAAGUGUAGUAGCAGAGAUGAGCACCCACCUCCUUUGCUGUCAGUAACCACCCAGCACGGCACAUCCUGCAGGUUGCUCACAGGCAGAUGGAAGGUCUUUUUUCCCCUCAAGUGAACUCAGAAGUGCUCUCA